The sequence is a ribosomal RNA, 88 nucleotides long. It matches the Rfam family "Bacterial small subunit ribosomal RNA", at positions 1 to 87 of the family's 1533-position model.
UUUAAUUGAAGAGUUUGAUCAUGGCUCAGAUUGAACGCUGGCGGCAGGCCUAACACAUGCAAGUCGAGCGGCAGCGACAACAUUGAAC